Molecule: small nucleolar RNA, 87 nt
Organism: Beta vulgaris subsp. vulgaris (sugar beet)
Lineage: Eukaryota; Viridiplantae; Streptophyta; Magnoliopsida; Caryophyllales; Amaranthaceae
Source: Rfam
UGGUAAUGAUUAGUAACUUAUCCGCGCUUCCGAGAUUUAUUCGAUGAAGUGUAGGAUUAAAAUGGUUGAAUUUCUUGAUAUGAGCCA